GUGAGGAAUAUUGGUCAAUGGGCGAGAGCCUGAACCAGCCAAGUCGCGUGAAGGAAGAAGGAUCUAUGGUUCGUAAACUUCUUUUGCAGGGGAAUGAAGUGCAGGACGUGUCCUGUUUUGUAUGUACCCUGAGAAUAAGGAUCGGCUAACUCCGUGCCAGCAGCCGCGGUAAUACGGAGGGUCCGAGCGUUAUCCGGAUUUAUUGGGUUUAAAGGGUGCGUAGGUGGUUUGAUAAGUCAGCGGUGAAAGUUUGCAGCUUAACUGUAAAAAUGCCGUUGAAACUGUCGGACUUGAGUGUAAAUGAGGUAGGCGGAAUGCGUGGUGUAGCGGUGAAAUGCAUAGAUAUCACGCAGAACUCCGAUUGCGAAGGCAGCUUACUAAGCUACAACUGACACUGAAGCACGAAAGCGUGGGGAUCAAACAGGAUUAGAUACCCUUGUAGUCC
RNAcentral lists this ribosomal RNA (445 nucleotides) under uncultured bacterium. RNAcentral describes it as "partial 16S ribosomal RNA". It matches the Rfam family "Bacterial small subunit ribosomal RNA", at positions 354 to 796 of the family's 1533-position model. The record is from RNAcentral.